AACCAGGGGGAUGAAGAGAAGAGCCUCGUAAAGUCCACCAUCAGCCUCCCAACACAGACAUCUGCUCUGUUCCCAGACUGAGAUCCAGAUCCAGAUCCAGAGGAGAGAGAGAAUAUCAGUGGAGCCUCUGAAAUAGAUCCCCGACACGGCUUUACCACAUCUGUUCUUCAAGCAGCCAAACACAUAACAACCCAAUUGCCCUCCGCCUGACUGCACUCGUAUGGCUGAGUGUUACACACUGUGUGUACCGAAUCCCCGUCCGCUACGAAAGCAACCACAGCCGUGUGAAUAACCAGCUGAAACAUUCCCAACCUUCACGAUGAAAACAGACCUGCUGGCACACAAAGACAGCAGGUGAACAACACAAUACAGCAGCGUGCAGCGCGUAUGGGAGCGUUGUCCACUGUUCCAAUACCGCCAACAAAGGCCCCUCUGACUAGACGCCUGGACGGGCCGGGCUGUGAUACUGCAAGAGUCAAGUCUGAGAGGACAGUUAUGAUAAAAUCACUCCGAUGAGCUGUGCUGACUUCUCAUUAGCCCGG
Molecule: long non-coding RNA, 542 nt
Organism: Gasterosteus aculeatus aculeatus (three-spined stickleback)
Lineage: Eukaryota; Metazoa; Chordata; Actinopteri; Perciformes; Gasterosteidae
Source: Ensembl